RNAcentral lists this ribosomal RNA (816 nucleotides) under Beltrania liliiferae. RNAcentral's name for it is "Beltrania sp. MR-2022a partial large subunit ribosomal RNA". It matches the Rfam family "Eukaryotic large subunit ribosomal RNA", at positions 86 to 929 of the family's 3401-position model. Lineage: Eukaryota; Fungi; Ascomycota; Sordariomycetes; Amphisphaeriales; Beltraniaceae. The record is from RNAcentral.
ACGGCGAGUGAAGCGGGAACAGCUCAAAUUUGAAAUCUGGCCUUCGGGUCCGAAUUGUAAUUUGCAGAGGAUGCUUUUGGUUAGGUACUUUCCGAGUUCCCUGGAACGGGACGCCUUAGAGGGUGAGAGCCCCGUACGGUUGGAUACCGAGCCUUUGUAAAGCUCCUUCGACGAGUCGAGUAGUUUGGGAAUGCUGCUCUAAAUGGGAGGUAAAUUUCUUCUAAAGCUAAAUACCGGCCAGAGACCGAUAGCGCACAAGUAGAGUGAUCGAAAGAUGAAAAGCACUUUGAAAAGAGGGUUAAAUAGCACGUGAAAUUGUUGAAAGGGAAGCGUUUAUGACCAGACUUUUUCCAGGCGGAUCAUCCGGUGUUCUCACCGGUGCACUUCGUCUGGUUAAGGCCAGCAUCGGUUUUCGUGGGGGGAUAAAAGCGGUGGGAAUGUGACUCCUCCGGGAGUGUUAUAGCCCGCCGUAUAAUACCUCCAUGGGGACCGAGGUUCGCGCAUCUGCAAGGAUGCUGGCGUAAUGGUCAUCAACGACCCGUCUUGAAACACGGACCAAGGAGUCGAACAUUUGUGCAAGUGUUUGGGUGUUAAACCCUCACGCGUAAUGAAAGUGAACGGAGGUGAGAGCCCUUACGGGUGCAUCAUCGACCGAUCCUGAUGUUUUCGGAUGGAUUUGAGUAAGAGCAUAACUGUUCGGACCCGAAAGAUGGUGAACUAUGCGUGGAUAGGGUGAAGCCAGAGGAAACUCUGGUGGAGGCUCGCAGCGGUUCUGACGUGCAAAUCGAUCGUCAAAUCUGCGCAUGGGGGCGAAAG